GAUGAACGCUAGCGGCAGGCUUAACACAUGCAAGUCGAGGGGCAGCGCGGGUAGCAAUACCUGGCGGCGACCGGCAAACGGGUGCGGAACACGUACUGAACUUACCCUGAUCUGGGGCAUAGCCCGAAGAAAUUCGGAUUAACUCCCCAUAGUAUAAUUGGAAGGCAUCUUUUGAUUAUUAAAAUUUAUUGGAUCAGGAUGGCAGUGCGUCCCAUUAGCUAGUUGGUAGGGUAACGGCCUACCAAGGCGACGAUGGGUAGCUGGUGUGAGAGCACGACCAGCCACACGGGCACUGAGACACGGGCCCGACUCCUACGGGAGGCAGCAGUGAGGAAUAUUGGUCAAUGGACGCAAGUCUGAACCAGCCAUGCCGCGUGAAGGAUGAA
Molecule: ribosomal RNA, 386 nt
Filed under: uncultured bacterium
Lineage: Bacteria
Description: bacterial SSU rRNA
Rfam family: Bacterial small subunit ribosomal RNA
Source: RNAcentral